Molecule: long non-coding RNA, 4446 nt
Filed under: Marmota monax (woodchuck)
Lineage: Eukaryota; Metazoa; Chordata; Mammalia; Rodentia; Sciuridae
Source: RNAcentral
AAUAACAAGAAUUUAUCCUGAUCAAUGGCCAUAACCUCACUUUCAGUCUGGUGUGAUGGGCCAUCACAGAUGGGCUGCUCAUUUCAUGCACAGAUAAAAAAGUGUGUAGCUGUGUUGCCUCUUCAUCUCCCUAUAUAAUAUUAAAAAAAAAAACAACGAAAAUCAAAAGAGGGAACAACUUCAUGACUCACUUGAAUCAAAGUGUGAAACAUGAUAUGUCAAGAACUAUGUAAUGUUUUGAACAACCAACAAUAAAAAUUAAAAAAUAAAUAAAUAAAAGAUUUUAAUCUAAAAAAAAGAAGCACACACAAAACAACAAAAGAGGGAACAACUGACCAAAAAAAAAAUGAUAGUGCAAAAGGCUGGGGGGUGUGGCUCAAAGGUAGAGCACUUGCCUAGCAUGUGGGAGGCCCUGAGUGAUGUCCGUAGCACCAAUAAAUAAAUAAAUAGAUAGAUAGAUAGAAGAUAGAUAAAUAAAUAAAUAAAUAAAAGUGCAACAAAGAAACAAAAAAGUGAAAAAAACUGGACGUGACAUUAGAAUGAAACAUAUAGAAGAUAUAACUGAUACUCACCGUUCUGGAGACUGUAGACACACAGCCAGAGGGACAUAGGGAAGGUGGAUAAUUUACCAAUGAAAAUGAGAAAAGUGCUUGUAAUAAAAAGGAUGAAGAUGGGGCUGAGGUUGUGGCUCAGUGGUAGAGCGUUUGCCUUGCCUCUGUGAGGCACUGGGUUCAAUCCUCCACACCACAUAAAAUAAAUAAAUAAAUAAGUAAACAAAGAUGUUCAACUAAAACAAGUUAAAAAAAAAAAGAAAGAAAAAAAGGAUGAAGAUGUCCCGGAGUACGUGACACUGGCAAGAACUUCCAUGGAAGUAACUCUUGAGAUAUUUCCCAACAUUGGACACAGAAAGGAUAAAAUAUUGAAAUCUGAUCCAAAUUUAGAGAAGAAUAUGGUGAUGGUGAUUUAUCAAGACAUAGAAAAGAUGAUUACCCCAUAUUGUAAGUUUUAUUAUGAGAAAUUCCAUCUACCCUAGGUUAAGGUUUUUAGGAAGAGGGAUAAAAAAUUUAAAAAUGUAUUAGAAUUACUAAAUAAAUGUUAGUUUUUAUUCAUUUUUUAUUUCCCUUACAUUUAUAACUGGCAUAAAGGAUUUUAAAUGUCUUUUGGCAAACAAUCUUAAAGGUCACAGAACAUUUAUAAUUUUUCCCAUUGAUGAUUCGGAUUGCUUUGCAUGGUUUUAGCUUAAGUGGUCAUUUUUACUGUUCUUCACUAUGGUGGAAAGCAAGGACUGCCUGUGUGUGUGUGUGUAUGUGUGUGUGUGUGUGUGUGUGAGAGAGAGAGAGAGAGAGAGAGAGAGACUGUGAAUGUGUGAGAGUGCCUUAUGUAUGUGUAUAAGAGUGUGAUUGUGUGUGAAUGCCUGUGAGUGUGUAUGAUGAAUUUUUGCACUUUGAUGUAUCAAAUAACAGGACCAUCUGAAUGUGCCUCUUUAAAUUUGCUGUUGCCUUUCACCUUCUUGAUUUUGUUGUUUUUUUUUUUCCCUCAGCCUCAGACUUACUGAGUUAGAAUUCCUUUGUGAAAUUUUCUCUUAAUAACUUACCUGCAUUUUAAAGAAUUGUAAAGACAGUAAAAAAUUAAGUAAACACUUCAAGUUAAAUUUCACUUGUCUUUCUGUUUUUUUGUAUAGAAAUGUGUGAUAAUUCCUUCGUGUUUUUCUUAGUGAUAGUCAUAAUUAUAAUCAUCACAGUAGCAGUAACAUUUGUUGAACAUUUAGUAUGUGUCAGCUGCUUUUCAAAGCCCUCCAUUUAUACUUUUCUUCUACUCAACAGAUAACUACCCAGGGAAAAAAGCCUUUUGCAUAUCAAUUAUUGUAAAUGUAAUAUAUCUUAGUGUUUUUCUCACCAAGGCAAGGGGCUCACAGAGCACAGGAAAGGAUCGAUUGAUCACCUAAUACUUCUGCUCAUUUCAGGCAAUCAAGUGGCUCCAGUAACCUGGGAAUUGCUGCAAGCUCUGGCCACUGAAAUCACCAAGGGGAGCUAACGUGUGCUUUCAUCUUCUACUUACUAACAAUAUACUGGGUGACUCAGUUGUGUGAUAUAAAAGACUUAAACAUGGAAAAUGAGCCAGGCUAGUGCCUGGAGAUACUAGCAGUGCAUGAUAAUUAAACUCUCCAAAUUCUCCCAUAGAAAACUCAAUGAGCUGUAUUUACUUCUUUCUGGCAUUAUAAAAAUUAUGUAUCCUUUUAUGUGCACAGACAGUUCCUUAGGGACAAGAGUUAUGCAUGCUCAUUAACAGAAGAAUAUGUACCACAGCAGGUACUGCAUGCUAAGCCCAAGACUUAUGACCCUAUUGUCCACAUGACUGGCAAGCAUAGCUUUUCCAUUGUGGUGGUGAAUGAGAGGAUGAAGAGAUAAUGAUGACAAUGAAAGAGGUUAAUUUAAAUGUUCUUGCUCCAGACUUCAGUUAAAUAUUCAGAUACAUUUCAAAUUAUGUAUGCUUCUUCAAAGGUUGGAAACCGUGUGAUGGAAGCAUUACUAUCUUUACUUAAUUUCCUGUGUUUUGAAAUGCAGGAUGCUUUUGGAACUCGGUGUUAGAAUUGGCAAAGCACACUGCCCUGGCUGUGAACCUUGAGUGCUGGUUUUAAGUCUUUCAGUCUAAAAAGACUUCAGCCGGUUCUCAUUGGUCUUUCUAGACCGACUUUCCCUGGCUCUGUGGGCAAGUAUAUUAGCAUAAUCUUUGCCUAAAGAUUUCUACUUGGUCAACUGUUCCCUAUAGUCCUUUUCAGUUUGGAAGAAUGAAAUAGAUGCGGUCACUUUGAUGUUGGCAUCUUCAUGAUAAUUAUUAUUUUCAAGGACUCAGGUCCUUUGUGUCAUUUACUAUUAUGAUCAAUGUAUAUAUUGUGUAAAGGCCUAAUUCACAAGAAUUAUCAUGAAAAUUGUUUCCUUGGCUAUCUAUACAUUAAAGAUCUCAAGCAAUCAGCAAAUAUAUACAUAUAAAUUUCUUUUUAUGCUGGGGGGAAGAAAUAAUUCAAAGAAAGAAAAGGAUGCUGCUUGGAAUUAUAUCAUUUGGAAACCUAGAUGGCAAAGAGAAAGGGUGAAUUAUUACACUUAAUGCUUAAAAGAAAUAAGAAGUAUGAAACUUUUGGUCCCAAAUUAAGUAACAUAAAUUACAAGAGACUUUGUUGUGGCAUGUUGCCUUAGAUUGGAUUCCUCAGAGGUGGAACUCUGAGGGAAAAGCUUAAGAGACAGCUAAGCAGGAGUGAGGGAGUUAUCCUUCUCAAGUAAAGUCCCCGGAAGAUGGCCUUCAGCCUAAUCCUGCAGAAUGAUUCUGGAAAAUGAAUGAUAUGUCUGUGUGUUGAAGGGUGAAGUUCCUCACUCCAUAAUUAUUGUCAAUCCCGUAUCUAUACAGAGGGUCAUAGAGCCUCAGGCCCUUUCUACUUUCUGUACCUGAUGCAAAGGGGCUUUAGCAGAUUGAGAGUUGUUCUCCUAAAAUCUGCGUGAGUGUGUCAUCUGCCCAUCAAAAGAAGCAGAUUACAAAUUCAAGGGGCAGGUGCCUGCAGAAAAGGUAAAAAGGAAUGGGAGGAGGAUUGGCCAUUGUCUGGUAUAAGAUCAUUGUAAAUUAGAGAUGCAUAAAAAUCCAAUAAGGAUGUUUCGAAUCUUUUCUGGUUUAUCAGAUUGAAGGAAAAAAAUCAGAUCAGCCAGAUUAGGAAUACUUGUUUGUUGCUUUUUUGUUCAUUGUAAAACAAAACUUGUUAUUUAUUGAGCACCUACUGUAUAAGUCAGGUGAUUUAAGUGCAUUAUCUCAUUAAUCCUCAGAGAAGUGGAGAUGGCUUGUUAGAGACUGCAGAUGUAGAAGUCUUCAAAAAAUGAUUGCCAAAUAGGUAAAUGAAUAAGUGAAUGGAUAUGUUGUAUUGAUUAAACACAGGCUGUCUGUAUACAUAUAUUAUAUUUAUCUCAUGGAAGUAUAGCUGAUUUAUGAUGUUGCAGAGCUGGGGCUUUCCUAGAAACAGGCAACAUGAAGACUCCCUCUUAAAACUCUGAUGCUUGUGAUCAAGUCAGAACUAUUUCAGACAUGUCAUUCAAAGUCACAGGAAUUGUUUAUUGAAGGGAUCAGAAAAGGGAGAGGGGAAUUCUCAAGGGAGAGAGUGGGUCCUCUCAGAGAGGAGAGGGACGAUGUGCUUCUUCUGCACUCCACUUUUAUUGGGGAUUCCAGAGAAGUUUCCAGAGAGGCCCACCCAGGUUCAUCUCUUGAGUUUUGAUUAUGUGCUUUUUCUACCUAGUGCUCUUUCCCAUGGUAUUCUGUUUGUUGGAACUUGUGUCUUUAACUGGGUUAUUGAUACGUAGUUAUCUCUUAUUCAAGGUUGUGCUUUCUGUAGUUUCAGUUACAUGUAGUCCAGUCUGGCCCAAAUCAUAUUAAGUGGAAAAUUCCAUAAAUAAACAAUUCACAAAUUUU